RNAcentral lists this ribosomal RNA (785 nucleotides) under uncultured bacterium. RNAcentral describes it as "bacterial SSU rRNA". It matches the Rfam family "Bacterial small subunit ribosomal RNA", at positions 8 to 798 of the family's 1533-position model. The record is from RNAcentral.
AGAGUUUGAUCAUGGCUCAGGACGAACGCUGGCGGCGUGCUUAACACAUGCAAGUCGAACGGAAAGGCCCUUCGGGGUACUCGAGUGGCGAACGGGUGAGUAACACGUGGGUGAUCUGCCCUGCACUUUGGGAUAAGCCUGGGAAACUGGGUCUAAUACCGAAUAGGACCACGCGCUUCAUGGUGUGUGGUGGAAAGCUUUUGCGGUGUGGGAUGGGCCCGCGGCCUAUCAGCUUGUUGGUGGGGUAAUGGCCUACCAAGGCGACGACGGGUAGCCGGCCUGAGAGGGUGACCGGCCACACUGGGACUGAGAUACGGCCCAGACUCCUACGGGAGGCAGCAGUGGGGAAUAUUGCACAAUGGGCGCAAGCCUGAUGCAGCGACGCCGCGUGGGGGAUGACGGCCUUCGGGUUGUAAACCUCUUUCACCAUCGACGAAGGUCCGGGUUUUCUCGGGCUGACGGUAGGUGGAGAAGAAGCACCGGCCAACUACGUGCCAGCAGCCGCGGUAAUACGUAGGGUGCGAGCGUUGUCCGGAAUUACUGGGCGUAAAGAGCUCGUAGGUGGUUUGUCGCGUUGUUCGUGAAAACUCACAGCUUAACUGUGGGCGUGCGGGCGAUACGGGCAGACUAGAGUACUGCAGGGGAGACUGGAAUUCCUGGUGUAGCGGUGGAAUGCGCAGAUAUCAGGAGGAACACCGGUGGCGAAGGCGGGUCUCUGGGCAGUAACUGACGCUGAGGAGCGAAAGCGUGGGGAGCGAACAGGAUUAGAUACCCUGGUAGUCCAA